RNAcentral lists this long non-coding RNA (1697 nucleotides) under Marmota monax (woodchuck). Lineage: Eukaryota; Metazoa; Chordata; Mammalia; Rodentia; Sciuridae. The record is from RNAcentral.
GAUUCUUUAAUUUUCACUGACUUGUGCUGUUUUGCUAGGGCGUAACUGGCUUAAUUUAGUCCUCUGGCUUGUGAAAUAUUUGCAUGUGAUCUUUUGAGUACAGCCUUGGUUCUUAGAGUCCUUGCAGCAGAGAGAGCCACAAUCCAUAGAUUUCAAGAAGGAACCCAGGGUGGGCAGUGGUGGGGGCUGCAGCGUGAGGAUGCUACUUGGGUUCUGGCCAUUGACUCUGUCAUGGAAGUCCUGGAGGUAAUUUCCCCUUAUUAUUGAACUUGAAACAGCUAGGGUAAAUAAAGCAGAUUUUAAUCAACUGCAUUAUAAACAAAAGGCACAGAUGGCAGGGAGAGAUUGACUGACAACAGCAAAGUCCCUGAGGCUCUCUUGAACACCCCUGGGGGGGGGGUGAGAAAGACUGAGGCCCCCUCCUUUGUUUUGUUCUUGGCGUUUAUGAAUUCCAGGAACUCCUUUUCUUCAAGUACAGAGCUGCCAUCAACAGGAUGUUAGGAGGUGAAUGCUCUUCCAAGCCACAGAGAAAACACUCUCACUUAGGAUCUGAAUAGGUCAAGGGGCCAUCGGCCAUCCAAAGGGCCAGGGUUUACAUGAACUGAACAAAUGGAGGUUGAGGGAGGACAGCUGGAAUAACAAGGAAGAAAUAAGAAAGAACCACGAGAGAAGCUUCAUAAAUCUUAAAAUCAAGAUUCAGCGUUGCGUUAACGUCAGGGCCACUGCUGUUUGUGGGGUCACCUGAAGCAAACAAGACCAGUCAUAUUGCUGGAUCCUGCCACUAAUUUUUAACCACAGUGAAAUGACUGAAGGUGAAGCAGAGUCCUUUUCCAAGACUUCAAGAAGUGGAGUUAAACUGGGCGCCGGGGCGCAUGCCUGUAACCCAGUAAAGGUACCUUUGGCAACCUACCUGACCUGUGCUCGGGAGGCUGAGGCAAGAGGAUCGGGAGUUCAAAGUCAGCCUCAGCAACUCAGUGAGGCCCUAAGCAACUCAGCAAGAAACCUGUCUCCAAAUAAAAUACUUUUUAAAAAGAGGCUGGGGAUGUGGCACAGUGGUUAAGCACCCUUGGGUUCAAUCCCAGUACCAAAACUAAAACAAAGACAAACAAACAAAAUGUGGUACGAAGACAGUCUAUCCCACGCAUGCCACAAGAUCUGUGGAUGUUUCCAACCUGGAAAACUUGGAGAGAGGUGGACCUAGGUAGAAAUGAGCGCCAAGGUGGAAAGAACUGAACUGAAUGCUGACAUGGGGACAAACUGGAUCCUCUGGGCUAUCCGAGACCGACGGGGUCAGUGAGAACAAACUUUCCAAAGGACUUGUUGCGUGUAACUCCUGUGAGUUAGAGAAACAAUAGUACACAGCCAGGCCGUCGUUCUCAAAGUGUGGCCCUGGGACCCUGGAGAGGGUGCCUAGAUCCUUCCAGGGGGGUCUGCAGGGUCACAGCUAUUUCCAUCAUAAUACGAAGGUAUUCUUGGCCUUUUUCAGUCUUGCUUUUUUUGUACUCAAACAGUGGAGUUUUCCAGAGACUAUAUGACAUGUGAUAUCACAACAGACUGAAUGAAGAAGCAAAUUUGAGAAUCCAGCUGGCUUCUGUCAAGUCAGACAUUAAAGAGAUUUGCAAAAAAAAAAAAAAAAAUGUAGAGCAAUGUGAUUCUUUGAGUGAGUUGGGUUUUUUUUUUUUAAGUUUUUGAAAAUA